This 460-nucleotide ribosomal RNA is filed under the name uncultured bacterium. RNAcentral's name for it is "partial 16S ribosomal RNA". It matches the Rfam family "Bacterial small subunit ribosomal RNA", at positions 338 to 795 of the family's 1533-position model. The record is from RNAcentral.
CCUACGGGUGGCAGCAGUGAGGAAUAUUGCUCAAUGGGCGCGAGCCUGAACCAGCCACGUAGCGUGAAGGAUGACUGCCCUACGGGUUGUAAACUUCUUUUAUAAAGGAAUAAAGUGAGGCUCGUGUGCCUUUUUGUAUGUACUUUAUGCAUUAGGAUAGGCUAACUCCGUGCCAGCAGCCGCGGUAAUACGGAGGAUCCGAGGGUUAUCCGGAUUUAUUGGGUUUAAAGGGAGCGUAGAUGGGUUGUUAAGUCAGUUGUGAAAGUUUGCGGCUCAACCGUAAAAUUGCAAUUGAUACUGGCAAUCUUGAGUACAGUUGAGGUAGGCGGAAUUCGUGGUGUAGCGGUGAAAUGCGUAGAUAUCACGAAGAACACCGAUGGCGAAGGCAGCUUACUAAACCGACACUGACGUUGAUGCUCGAAAGUGUGGGUAGCAAACAGGAUUAGAUACCCGUGUAGUC